This 374-nucleotide unclassified non-coding RNA is filed under the name Hevea brasiliensis (rubber tree). Lineage: Eukaryota; Viridiplantae; Streptophyta; Magnoliopsida; Malpighiales; Euphorbiaceae. The record is from RNAcentral.
UCCUUAAAAUGAAAAUGAAAUUAGAGUUCUGGAUCUGGAUCAAAGAUUUAAAGUGUCUGUUGUUGCUGACUCAGACAAAUAGAUAUGUGCUGAAAUUGUAUUGUGGCUGUUGCUUUCAUUAUUUUGUGAAUCAGCACUUAAAUUAUUUUUUAUGGUUCCUUUCAUUAGAACCCAACCACAUUUGCCGUACCUUUAGACUGGUCCUUUCCUAUGCAUAUUGUGGUUUAGAACUUGUUUGAACUGCUAUCUGUGUGGUUCAUUUUAUUUUUUGUUUGCUUUUUGGGAGAUAAAUUUGAACAAUCAAAAUAAUUUAGGUGCUGAUUCAACCUUGUUUAUUUUUAUUUUUAAUAUGACAGGUUAAAUUGAAUCAUCGG